RNAcentral lists this ribosomal RNA (254 nucleotides) under uncultured bacterium. RNAcentral describes it as "partial 16S ribosomal RNA". It matches the Rfam family "Bacterial small subunit ribosomal RNA", at positions 524 to 776 of the family's 1533-position model. The record is from RNAcentral.
UACGUAGGGGGCAAGCGUUGUCCGGAAUUAUUGGGCGUAAAGAGCUCGUAGGCGGUGUGUUACGUCGGCCGUGAAAACCUGCAGCUUAACUGUGGGCGUGCGGUCGAUACGGGCAUCACUGGAGUUCGGCAGGGGAGACUGGAAUUCCUGGUGUAGCGGUGAAAUGCGCAGAUAUCAGGAGGAACACCGGUGGCGAAGGCGGGUCUCUGGGCCGAUACUGACGCUGAGGAGCGAAAGCGUGGGGAGCAAACAGG